RNAcentral lists this long non-coding RNA (17537 nucleotides) under Capsicum annuum. RNAcentral describes it as "long non-coding RNA (CANN_LNC018160)". The record is from RNAcentral. Lineage: Eukaryota; Viridiplantae; Streptophyta; Magnoliopsida; Solanales; Solanaceae.
AUCUUUAAUAAGGCUAAUAUGUGCACCUUUUGACUGUUUGGGAAUGAUCCUGUACCAAUUUGAUUUGAGAAAAGCAUCUCAGUAAUUGAUUUUUUAUUUUUCUUGCCUUACUUGGUUGACAGACAUCCCCUCACACGUUAAUUAUGGUAAAUUUAGAUACCUCUUCUUGAUUUCAUUUAAUAAGUAGGAAGGAUCUCUUUUUACUUGUUUUAUUGAUGGAAAUUUCAAAUGUUAUAAUAGGGUAUUAUAUAUUUAUGGCAACUAUAGUAUGAUUGGUGGAACGGAUUGAUUUACCCCAUCCAUUUAAGGGAACAAUUCCCUUAAUUGAUUCAUUAUAUGUUAUUCUUCUUCCAUUAAAUAUUAUUCUUACUUCAUUAUUUGGAAUUGUGGACGACCCUUCUCACUAUAUAAACUCACCAUUCUAUUUCUCUAAGAGGACAAACUUCUCCUUCGCUAUUACUCCCUCUAUUUUCUCUUAAAAGUACUUUGAAUUUCUUUGGCACUUUGGAUUUCGAAAAACAUUCGGUCUUGUCCUUGCUGCAAUUGCUUUGGGUUCUAUUAUUAUUGGUUGCUGCCUAAUCGGUUAGUCUCUAUCGACGCAUUCUUUUCUUAUUCUGUAGCAUUUGUGAUAGCAAAGCAUAGAAAGCAUUUCUAUAGGAACUUAUUUGAAAUAAUUAUGAUUAACUGUCAUAAAGAAGAUUAAAAAAAUAAAAGAAUAGCUUACUAGAGUGUACUAUAACCAGUUCUAGCUGUUUUCUUGAACAGUAGCACAUUUGGUGCAAGUUGAAGACAUUAUGGGUAUUGCUGUUUGUAUUUUCUUGUUCUGUGUUUGCUUUGUAUGACUGUGGUUUCUUGUGAAAGUUUUGUCAUAAUUGAACAUAGCUUAGGGUUUUACUUUUCAUAGCUAUUUUCUACUUUCUUUCUGAUAGUUUGUUGGGUUUUUGCUUUGUUUCUUGCAUGAAAAUGUAAGUUCUUUUUCCCCAUUUUCUUUUUUUGGGACAUGGAGGGUGAGUGAUGUGGUGGGCAGAGGGUCCAGUAGGGGGGUCUUUGGUUUAAUUGUUUCCAAAUUAAUGUGAAGAUAAUGUUUGAUAGAAUCUUAUUGGGAAGACAAAGUGUGUGAAUCACAUUCAGCAGAGUGGGAGAAAAGGUGAAGAAAUUUAAGAUAGGAUUUUGAAGGAUGAAUGAUAGCUUAGCUAGAGAAAUGAUUGAGAGACAACCUCAAAGGCCUUGUGGUUGUGUGGGCAUUUUCUUUCAGCUCUUUGAUCGGAACCGUAGAUUUGCCAAGAAGCUGUGUCCAAAGAAACUGCUUUCACCAGGUUAGCUACCACUACAUUCCACUCAUUUUUAAAGCAGAAUGGUUAAUUUCUUGAAGGUGAUUCUAGCUAGACGGAGAAAUUAUUUCUUUUUUUGUGCUGCAUUCUUAUAGGUUGCUUGAAACAAGAUUCAAAAAAGUUUGGAGGGGAUGAGAAGAAGCCAAAGCUUCGUUUGGUUCUCAUUUCUUGAACUAUACACCCACAUCUAGCUUUCUUUUUCUACUAUUGUCUCAGAUUUUAGCUGGACAGGAAAGUUUUUGGUUUUAUUGUUUUUGGUUCUUGUAUGAACAAUCUAGAUUGCUGAAGAGAACAGUGGGGGUUUUCCAAAUGCAAAGAAUAAUGGAAUGACCGAUACACGUUGUGAAAGCAAGCGCGAUGGGUUUGGAAUCGAUGCCAGCAGGAUUAGGCAGUAAGCCCCAAAAGGCUUCAGCUUCUGAAACUUGGAGCAAUGUGGCAGACAAACUUGGUGCUCGACCAGGCGGAUCUGAUAAAGAAGAGAUGGAUUUUGAGAUGGCCGAAAUAAAGAGUUCAGAACCAGGUUUGCAAAGGUUUAGGGCUAAAUGUGCUCUCACUUAUCCUACUAGAUAUUUUUCCUUUGGAAGAUGAAGCAGAUUUAGUUGGGAAUUCACUUGAUCACCAUUUAAGUGACAGCUACCUCUCCAGCAGUCCCAAUAGUAGCUCAAGUAUGGUCCCCGAUUCGACAUUUUACUAUUUGUACAUCCUUUCUUUCCCUCAAAUACAUAAAUUAAAAAAUAAGACAACUCUGAACUUGGAUUUCAUGAAUCCAUGCUUAUAAUAAAUAUGAUGCUUGUUUUCUUUCAGAGGAGAAAGUGCUUCCUGAAUCAGUGGACUCUGUUGAUGAUGAACCACUCUUUCUAUUUCCAGAACCUGAUAGAGAUCUUUCGGAUUGUGAGACCUCAUUAUCCACCAGGAGGAGUUGUAGAGAACUGAGUCAUAACGUUUCUGGAGUGCUCAUCAAGAUUGAUCAGUUAAAAUUAAGCAAACUCAGCUACGCAAAAUAUGUCAUUUUGAAUGCUGAACUCAUAUUUGCGAGUACACCUCAACAGUAGGCUCUAUCUGUAGAGGAUGGGUUCUCUGUGAGCCAUUUUCUCCUCAAUGAACAUGAAAUGUUUUCGAGUUUUCUGUGGAUGGCUUUCGGUGAGUUGCUUGGCUGUAAUGACCCAAAACAGAUGAAUCAUAUUAAACGAUUCGCCUUUGAUUGUCUAUUAGAGUACCUAGACUCAAAAUUUUCUCCAAUCUCUGAUUCUGGUUUCAGAACCUGUACCAAACUACCAUCAAGUAUGACCAAAGAGAUCUUGAUUGCUGAUAUUAUUGAUGAGGUCGAAGCGUGGACACAAUUUGUUGGUUUGAUCCCAGACGAGCUCAUAGAAUGGGAUAUGAGCCAUGUUUUGGGUAAAUGUACGGACUUCGAGAUUGAAGAAUAUGAAUGUGGCACUGAAGUUGCUAGGCAUAUUCUCCAAGAAUUAGUAAAUGAAGUUGUUUUAGACCUAUACAGUUCUAGCUAAAUUUGGUGGAACUGUUAGUAGCUCCUCUUUUUGAGACUUUGUUGCAAGCCUAUCAGUGCUGUUCUCAUGUGAUAACUCUUGACUCAAUAAUGUCAAGCAAAGUAUUUUGUACAAAUCAUUGAUUCUNNNNNNNNNNNNNNNNNNNNNNNNNNNNNNNNNNNNNNNNNNNNNNNNNNNNNNNNNNNNNNNNNNNNNNNNNNNNNGACCCAAAUUAUGUGUCGCCCGUCCCAAAAUAAAUUUCGUCUUUCCUUAUUUGGAAAUUUUUCAAAGGCACAAUUACCUUUUUACCUUUAUUGGAUCCACUUGAUUUUAAAUAUAUUAAUACUCCUUUUUUAGUAUUUGUUUUUUCAAAGUGAAAGCCUUAUCACUUCAAUCAAAAUUUAAACUUUCAGCCUUUUAUUUUUACAGUAUCAAAAUUAUUUUAAACCAUAGAGAGCAAUUUAUUCUUUUUGGUUGGGUAAACCAGUUUUCUUCGACAACUCAUUGUUCAUAUUACUGUGAUUUCUCAAGGAAAAAUUGGAUCUUUAAAGCUAAAGUUAAAGAAAACAAGAAUUUAGAGGGACCUCACUUUCCACAUAUAUCAUCUUAAAGUUUUUACUUUUGUAAGAACGAUACGGAUCUUGCUCAUGCUCUCCAGGAAGCAGGUAGUACCUUUCAACUUUUUUGGACAAAUAAAAUCACUUUUCUUCGAUAUGAACAUAAUUAAACAUACUCAUAAACAUGGGAUUUAUGUGGAUUGUAUUCUGAUCAAUCAUUGACAGGCAGUAUUGAAGUCGUACCUUUUUGUUUCCUUCGGUUAACUGAGGCUUGAUGGAAUUAGAAUGUGGUCGAAGAGUUCCAUCGUUCACACGCCGAAAGACGGUUAAUUUUGCCAUGUUCAUCGCAAAAGCCAGAGAUCGAAUAUUUGUUCGACGACAAAGUGGAAUUUCUUUGACUUGAUUAAUGUCGACUCCAAUCCAUUUUCAUCAAACUUUACCUGUAAGUCUUAAAGACACAUCUAAAGACGACAUACCAUUAUCAACUGAUGAUUGACAUUGUUUCCAAAUGCGCUAAAUAGUUCUUAUUGAUUUCUUGAACAACAUCGCAGCUUGUGUUAUAGAUCCGUAUAUAAGACUUCCUUCCUUACUUUCUUUCAAAAGAAACUUUGCAAUUGCUUAAAGUUCUUCUAAUUUCAAUCGUUUAUUUCUGAAGGUUGAGUCUAUAGGUACGACGAACCUCAUCUUUAGAGUAGUGGCAAAAAUAAGAGAGGAGAUAAAAGGAAGAAUUUGGAAAUUAUCCAAAACAAAAGAAAGGAUACAUUAACCAGAAGAUGCAAAAGAACAUCUCUCAAAUGAAAAGAAGAUUUGGCGCCACAAAAUAACCAUUUGCUAAAAAUUCAAAUGAAAACUAGGUUUAGCGCCCAAAAUUUGAAACCAAAAUCAAUUCAAAAACGUAAAUUUUUCGUGGAAAAUCCGUACAUGACGGCAAAUUGGUCCUAUUUUCUAGAAAAUUGAAUUUUGCAAUAACAAAUUUUUCUUAAUUGUUGAUAGAGAAAAUGAGAGUAAAAUUUUAAAUUAAAGCGAUACAUUGAUUUGGACUACUCAACUCUUUGAAAAAGAGAGAGACAGUUAUGUAGGUGGUGUAUUUUUUUCGUAGUUUUUUUUUUAAUACUGUACUCUCUAUUGCAUUUUUUUAAUUAUUGUGAAAUUUAAUAAAAGUACCUAGUGGUCCAAUACUUUUUUAAGAGGGGUAAUUUAGUAACUUUAGCAAGGUUAGUGCCUAUUUCUUAAAUAUCUUGUCCGGUCAAAUGGCGACAUAUAAUUUGAGACGGAGGGAGUAUUAUGAUAUUCAAUGUCCAUCAAUCCAUAAGCAAAUUACUUUCUAUAGUUCCUAGUAGGUUACAAUGAGUCGGUCCGAUUCAAACCUAUUGCUCUAUACAACUCUUAAGACAAACUUAUAAUAUCAAUGUUCCAUAAAUAGAAAAUUUAAAUCAAAAAUCAAUCUUUAGAACAAGUAAAAAGGACCAAAGGAUGGCAAAAAUUAAUUAGUAUCGCAGAACAAGAAGAUAUCCAAAGGAUAUUUGAAUUAGUUAGUAUCAUAGCAAUAUUAACUACAGAUCUAGAGAAAAUAGAUUAAAACUUGAAUUAAUUAAUUUGUAUAAUAGAUCAAUAAUAAUAACAGAUUUGAAAUAAAAGAAUUAAGGCUUGAAAUAGUUAGCAUCAUGUAUCAUAUAUAUAAUUAAAAUCAAAUGAAAACUUGCUCGAAAACUUGCUCCACCAUCAAAGAUGCACUUAGCAAAAAUGAAUCAUGAUGGACUAAUAAAAAUGGAGAUUAAGAACAUGAAUUUUUCUUGAAACUUGUGUUUUGGUGUCAAGGUGAGCAGGGAAUACAGUGGAGAAAAGGAAAAACAGAGAAAAUGAAGAUAAAAGAAGAUUUUAGGAAACUAAAACAAUAGAGGCAAAAGACACGGUAAAGUGUCAUUGAUUGUAGGUUUUAGUUACCAAAAUGCCCUUACUGUUGGUGUUGUUAACGAAAAUAUCCUCAAAUAAGACAAAAUAGUAGUAACUAAAGUCUUCAUUUAUAUAAAAGAUUAAAAUAUAAUCAUUAUUAUUUUUAAAAAAUGUAUAAAUUUUAGUAACUAAAAAUAUAAUAGUGAAAUUACUUUUAACCUUGCAAGAGUAAAGAAUUUAUUAAGGAGUGUGUCCAAUUCAAAUGGGGUAAAUAGAAAAGAUUGAAAGGUUUAUUCAACUAUUUUACAUUGAGUCCACUUAAUUCAUUGAUACUUUAGACAAUACUUCCACAAUAUUCAUAAUAAAUGAAUUGUUUAGAUAUUGUUGAUAUUUAAGGUGAUUUAAUUGUUUCAAUAAUAAUAUUGAAAUUUUUAUUUAUUCUUAUACUUCGUUUUUGCAUUUCUUAUAUCAUGAAUUUAAGAAAUUUAAUUGUUCCUAUUUAUUUAUUGUUUUGAAUUAGUUUUUUAAAAGUCAGUAUUGGAAGCCAAUUUUGACACUGUGAGGUUGACACCCAAUUUUGACCUCCCGACACUACAUUUAGUAUGUUAUUUUAACAAAAUCGUUAAUUUUUCAAUAUUAGUAUUUUUGCAUAUUUUCUUGCACCAAACAGAUUUUCGACAUAUCGCAUUCAUAAUUUAGAAAAUGCAUAAAUCAUCAAUUAUCUUUUAGAAUCAUAUUUUUAUAAUGAUAUUUUUGUAAUUUUAUUAAUUAAAUUAUUUUCACGUAAUUAUGCACACUCACAAUUUUGCAAAAUACAUUGUCUAGUUUUGCUUUAUUUAAUACUAUUUAUUGAUUUAUUAUUUAAUUACUAUUAUCAGAUAUUAUUAUUAUUCCUACUUUAAUUUAAAUAACAGCCUAAUCAAAAUUACAUUGCAUGAUUUUGUUUACCUUUUAAUCCAAUUUUAUUUAAUUUCUUACAAUUAUACCCUAUUUUUACCCAAUCCAUUACAAUCUUAACCUAAUUUCUUACAAUUUAAGCCAUUAUUUUUCAGUCUAGCCACAUUUUAAUUCCCCAUUACAUUAAAUCUCAGUUGUCAAUCAAAAAUCAAUCCAAAGCCGUCUAUCAAAAACCAAUCCAACGAUUGACAUCAAAAGAUCUCUCUUACCCUAUUUCAAACCUACAAACCCUAACUCAAAUUUUUUUCCCCAACUUCCAACUCUAUCUCUCCACCUCUCUCUUCUCUCUCUCUACAAACACCUCCAAAUCUCGAUCUCCCCCCUCCACUGAUCUCUCCGUCUCUAAUCGACCACCAAAACCACCCCUUCCGCUCCGAGUCCUCGUCGCCAUGUCGCCAUCUCCGGCGAACAGCCUUCGCCGUCACCUCUUCCUUCUUCUCCAUACGUGUCGCCAGCUCCUACCCCAGGCGAGUCCAGCCGCUGCUCCGAUGGCUAGCAUCCUCCCUUCUCACCUUCCACCGGUGAACAGCGCCGCCAUAGACGGAGACGGCCAGCCAAGCCUCCACACGGCCGCUCCAUCCUCCAUCCUCCAGUCGCCUUCUUUCUCCCCUCUGGCCAACGUCCAACAGCCGUGACAUAACCUCGACUCCUCUCCCACAGCGAUACCUCCGGCAAACCCCUUUGGCGUUCCAACCAUUCAACCCUUCCUCAUCAAAAAUGAAGAAUCCGUCUUCAGGUUGGAUCUCGUGUUCGAAAUAUGUGUGUGUACUUUAGUACUAUUUCUUCAUCUGUGUCUCUCAUAAGUGUGGCCACGUUUGAUUUUUGCUGAAUAAAUGCGUUGAUUUUAAGUCUGUGAUUUUUAUUCGACCCUAUUUGCAUGUCCUGCUUGAUUGAAAUUUUGUGACGCUUAACUUGAAUGGUGAGUCAAUUUGUUCGUCUCUCUCUGGUAUGUGCAAACAUGCCUAACUUCUUGCAACUUCACAUUUUUAUGCCUCUUAGUCAAUAUGGGUAAUUUUGUAUGGGAAAAGCAUGUAUGUGACGAUUCAAGGAUUUUAUCGUAAAUCUUUAAUAAGGCUAAUAUGUGCACGUUUUGACUGUUUGGGUAUGAUCCUGUACCAACUUGAUUUGAGAAAAACAUCUUAGUAAUUGAUUUUUUAUUUUUCUAGCCUUACUUGGUUGACAGACAUCCCCUCACACGUUAAAUAUAGUAAAUUUAGAUACCUCUUCUUCAUUUCAUUUAAUAAGUAGGAAGGAUCUCUUUUUACUUGUUCUAUUCAUGGAAAUUUCAAACGUUAUAAUAGGGUAUUAUUUAUUUGUGGCAACUAUAACAUUAUUGGUGGAACGGAUUGAUUUACCCCAUCCAUUUAAGGGAACAAUCCCCUUAAUUGAUUCAUUAUAUGUUAUUCUUCUUCCAUUAAAUAUUAUUCUUCCUUCAUUAUUUUGGAUUGUCGACGGCCCUCCGCACUAAAUAAACUCACCAUUCUCUUUCUCUAAGAGGACAAACUUCUCCUCCGCUAUUACUCCCUCUAAUUUCUCUUAAAAGUACUUUGAAGUUCUUUGGCACUAUGGAUUUCGAAAAACAUUCGGUCUUAUCCUUGCUGCAAUUGCUUUGGGUUCUAUUAUUAUUGUUUGGUGCCUAAUCGGUUAGUUUCUAUCGACGCAUUCUUUUCUUAUUUUGUAGCAUUUGUGAUAGCAAAGCAUAGAAAGCAUGUCUAUAGGAACUAAUUUAAAAUAAUUAUGAUUUUGAUUUUUUCACGGUCAUAAGAAGAUUAAAAAAAAGAAAAGAAUAGCUUACUAGAGUGUACUAUAACCAGUUCUAGCUGUUUUCUUGAACAGUAGCACAUUUGGUGCAAGUUGAAGACAUUCUGGGUAUUGCUGUUUGUAUUUUCUUGUUCUGUGUUUGCUUUGUUUGACUGUGGUUUCUUGUGAAAGUUUUGUCAUAAUUGAACACAACAUAGGGUUUUACUUUUAAUAGCUAUUUUCUACUUUCUUUCUGAUAAUUUGUUGGGUUUUUGCUUUUUUUCUUGCAUGAAAAUGUAAUUUCUUUUUCCCCAUUUUCUUUUUUUGCGCCAAGGAGGGUGAGUGAUGUGGUGGGUAGAGGGGCCAGUUGGGGGUUCUUUUGUUUAAUUCUUUCAAAAUUAAUGUGUAGAUAAUGUUUGAUAGAAUCUUAUUGGGAAAACAAAGUGUGUGAAUCACAUAGCUCAGCUAGAGAAAUGAAUGAUAGUUUAGCCACUAUUACUGAAAGACAACCUCAAAGGCAUUGUGAUUGUGUGGGCAUUUUCUUUCAGCUCUUUGAUCGGAACCGUAGAUUUGCCAAGAAGCUGUUUCCAAAGUAACUGCUUUCCCUAGGUUUGCUACUACUACAUUCCACUCAUUUUUCAAGCAGAAUGGUUAAUUUCUUGAAGUUGAUUCUAGCUAGAGGGCUAAAUUAUUUCCUUUUUUGUGCUGCAUUCUUAUAGAUUGCUUGAAACAAGCUUCAAAAACUUUGGAGGGGAUGAGAAGCAGCCAAAGCUUCGUUUGGUACUCAUUUCUUGAACUAUACUCCCACAUUUAGCUUUCUUUUUCUUCUAUUGUCUCAGAUUUUUACCUGACAGGAAAGUUUUUGUUUUUAUUGUUUUUGGUUCUUGUAUGAACAAAGUAGAUUGCUGAUGAGAAUAGUGGGGGUUUUCCAAAUGCAAAGAAUUAUGGAAUGACCGAUACACGUUGUGAAAGCUAGCGCGAAAUGAAAGCUCCAAGUUUUGUUGCUAGGCUCAUGGGUUUGGAAUCGAUGCCAGCAGGAUCAGGCAGUAAGCCCCAAAAGGCUUCAGCUUCUGAAACUUGGAGCAAUGUGGCAGACAAACUUGGUGCUCGACCUGGCGGAUCUGAUAAAGAAGAUAUGGAUUUUGAGAUGGCCGAAAUAAAGAGUUCAGAACCAGGUUUGCAAAGGUUUAGGGCUAAAUGUGCUCUCACUUAUCCUACUAGAUAUUUUUCCUUUGGAAGAUGAAGCAGAUUUAGUUGGGAAUUCACUUGAUCACCAUUUAAGUGACAGCUACCUCUCCAGCAGUCCCAAUAGUAGCUCAAGUAUGGUCCCCGAUUCGACAUUUUACUAUUUGCAUACUUCCUUUCUUUCCGUCAAAUACGUAAAUUAAAAAAUAAGACAACUCUGAACUUGGAACACCUCAUACAAUGUAUCUCACUACCGAAACUAUGAGGAGAACUAUUCAAUUAGACAAAAAUCUAGCAAGUACGAGAUAUUGAAUGUAUGUAUUAUUUUGAAUUGCUUUAUAUUGCAUAAACGCGAUGUUCCUUAGUUGAGGUUUUUGUUUGUACCUUUGUUGUUUCGUGAUGUACUUAACGAACUUGUUGUAACACCCCGUAUUCAAGUACGUGUAUUGGCGUAUUCAAGUACGUGUAUUGGUCCUAUUUAUAUGGAAUUAAUUUUUAUUUAUUUAUACCAAAAUUUGCCCGUAGAUGGUUCCGUACAAAGGUUAUUGAAAAAGUUUCCAACGAUACAAAGAUUUCCAAAAACGGAUAGGUUUCGGAUAUAAUCGAGCACGUUCGAAACUAUAAAACGGUGGCCGGGAUAUUUGGGACUAGUAAAUGUGCAGGAAAAUUUCCUGCACACAAACUACUGAGGCCAGCCGAAUUUUUUGGUCAAAUUUGAACGAUUAUAACUACCUUAAUAUAAUGAAAUGGGAGAGAUGCGACCUAUGAAAAGAAAUAUCUUUUAGUCUUCUUUCCAAUGCAAUUGGUUUCAUCCAAAUCCAAAGUCUGAGUAAGGAGUUAUACUUGUUUUACUUUGGCCUAUCCAAACAGAUUUUUAGGGUCAACUUCAAAUGACCAUAGCUCCUUGUACAGGACGAACUGGGUGGCCUACUUUAUAUUAAAUAAAAUCCAUUUGAAUUAUCCUCCAACGAUACCAAUUUCACCCAAAUCCGAUAUCAGAGCAAAGAGUUAUGGUCGAUCUACUUUAUCAUAUCAAAACAGUCCACCAAAGGACAGAUUUGACAUUAUUUAAAUUUUAAAGGCAUUUUGGUCAUUUCCUAUUAUAUUAUGGACGGGAAUAUGUGUAUAUAUACAUGUAUUAGAGUUCAAAAACUCAUUUUAAUCGUCAAUCACUGAGAAAGAACAAACCCUAGCCAAAUUUGACCUUUAAAUUACUUUUGAUUCAACCGUAGAAAUUCCAAAGUAAUCCGAUAACUGCGUUUGUCAUCUCGAGAGCUUCGAACGGCUCCUAUUAUUUGUGGAAACAGGAUUGGAUAAUCAAGAGGUGAAUUCUAAGGUAUGCAUAUUGUUUGCCUUUAUUCUUUUCCAUAUGUAUAUGUGUGAUAGAGGAUUAUAUGUAUUGGUUGUUAUUGAAAGGUGAUGGAAAUAGGGUUAUGGACUAUGUUGCAUGGUUUGGUUGUAUUUAAUUGUGUAAGGUGGAUAUGGUAAUUGAGUUAUGGCAGGUGGAUAUGGUGAUAUACUAUUGAAUUGAUGAUUAUUUAUGUCGAGGGCUCAAUUUGGUUUAAUGGAUUGGUUGGAAGGAUAAAUGAAUCCAAACUUGAUAUUGGAGGAUGUUGUAUGAAUAUGCAUGGCAUGUGAAUGUAAUUGGAGUAUAAGAGGGUUAAAGUGACACCCUUUAUGGUGUAAUUAAGGCUUACUACUUAACCACUAGUUUGGUGAAUUCAAAUAAUUGAAUUGUGACGUUUGGUCGCUAAUACUAGAUUGCUAUAUAUGUUCAUUGUAGAUAAGUAAUCCGAAAAGACGAGAAGUCCAUUUGGGACUAGUAUUGAAGGUUGACAGUCAGGUAUGUAAAGCAUACUCUAUACCAUAUCUUUGGCAUGAAAGUGAACAAUUGUUCUAUUAAGAAAGUUUCCAAAGUUAUUCAGUAACAUGUGAUCCAUAAUGGUUUUGUAUGAUGUCCUACGUUACCAAUGAACUUGUUUCCACUCUACAAGAUGUAAAGACAUUCCCAUACUUACUUGUUUUCCAAAUCUUACAUGUUUAUUGCACUAAUGAAUGUCAGAAGGUAUCCGGUUACUCAAACAAGAUCCAUGUGCUAUUAAUGACUCCAAAACGUUUCGUUGAUAUACUAAUAAGUUCCUACUUCAUUGUUAUGGCAUUGAUGACUCCAAAACACUUCAUUGAUGUGCCAAUGAGUUCUUACUUCAUCAUUAUUCCAUUGAGGGUCUAUUUAUAUGUCUCUUAUUGAUGUAUCAUUGUUACAAAGUAUCAAAAAUGCGGCGGCGACCGAAAUAACAAUCUCAAAAAUUCAUUGAACUAAGUGAUGGAAGUUCUCUCUUAUUGGAUGGUAUCCCAGGGACAUAAGCCUAUCAUGGGUUGAUCCCUAUUUAUGUGUUUAUGUGUGGUAUCCCAAGGGCAUAAGCCUAUCAUGGGUCGAUCCCAGUUGAUAUGUACUGGAGGCAGCCAAAUGGUCACAGUAUAGUACAGUAAUGAUUACAAAGAUGAUAAGAACNNNNNNNNNNNNNNNNNNNNNNNNNNNNNNNNNNNNNNNNACAAGUUCUAGUAAGUGUGGUCCACUCCUAUUACGAUUUAUUCACUUGUUUCUAAUUUUUAUUGAGCUCCUAUAUCAUAUGUGAUUUUAUACAGCUUUACAUACUCAGUAUAUAUUUUGUACUGACGUCCCCCACAGGGGACCUGCAUUUCAUGCUGCAGGCACAGGUACUUCAGCUCAUACACCGCACAAGUAGGAGUCAGGAUAUCCAGCUGGUUUUGGUGAGCUCCAGUUUGCUUCGGGGCUUUCCGUGUCAUGUCCAGUCACUUUUGGUAUUGUAUAGAAGUUAGUUAUAUGGCGGGGUGUGUCCUGACCUUAGUUAAACUCUGUGUAUUGUAUAGAGGCUUUGUAGACCUAAUGUACAGUCAAGGUGAUGUUUCGUUAAUAGAUGUGAUGGCUCCAAUUGCCAAGUAUUGUAUAUACAUAUAUAUAUGUGUGCUCGAGCUUAUACAAGUGAUUAUUUCCUUUUAUAUACGAUAUGAUGCUGUCCGAAUUUCGAGUUGUCAUAGAGGUAUGCAUGGGAAGUAUAAGGUGAUGAGCUGGUUCUCCUGGGCCUCCUCGGUUAUGGUUCCAGUACGCCCCAAUAGGAUUUGAGGCGUGACACUUGUGAUGUUGAACUUGACUUGUAAACUACAGAAAUGGAGUCAUCUAAAGAGACAGGUUGUCGAGCUCCAGAAGACCCCGUCCUCUGCAUCAACGACUGUGAUGUUUUCGGUAGUGCAACUACGAUGAGUAUGUGUUCCAAGUGUCAAAAUGACAUAAUACUACUGAAGUAGGAACAUGCAAAUCUUACAGCUGCAUUCAACAAAAAUGUCGUAUGCAGAAGCUCAAGCAGCGAUGAAUCAGAACUUGCUCUUGCAGGUGCGGCGGUUGCAUCUGCAGAUUUUGCCUCUCAUAUUUCACAAGUGAACUCAAAAGAAGGUUUGAAAAAGUGCACAGCUUGUCAUAAGCAUGUGGGAUUAACGGGGUUCAGUUGCAAAUGUGGUGAUCUAUUUUACGCAGUUCAUCAUUAUUCAGACAAACACAACUGCCCGUUUGAUUAUAGGAAUGCUGGUCAGAAUGCAAUAGCAAAAGCAAAUCCUAUCAUCGUAGCAGAAAAGCUUAAUAAGAUCUAACAAGCACCUAUCGAAAGGUUGUAUGAACUGAAGCAAUGUCCAUAUUUCGAUGUGUAGGCCUCGUCUUACCGGGUGAUGAUGAAAGUUUUGCAUGGGGGUGGGGGUGGGGGGUACCCUAGAGCCUAGAUAAUCAUGCUGUGUAAGUUAUUUAUGAUCUUGGUGCACAUUUUCAUGGAAUUUGUUCUUGUUUUGUCCCAAUUUCUGGGCUGCUUGUUUAGUAUAAUAUGCAUAAUGUAGGUCAUCUUGAUGAAUUUCACAUUCAUACAUCUGCGUUUUGAAAUCCUGAAUUUGCCUCCGUGCAUUCUUCAAGAUUCCAAAGUCUCCUUUGAGUAUCAAUAAUGUAGAGUUUUUUUUUGUGGAGAUGUCGAUACGGGUUGGCUCAGCUUAUCCGAGCUAGCCCAGACGGGCUUUGAGUUUGACAAGUCAGGUUGGGCUAGCCUAUCAAAAUGAUGAGCCAAAAAAUAUCAAGCCCACACUAUUACUAUGUGGGUUGCGGGCCUUACGGGCCAGUCCACUUUCAAAAAAUAAUAUUUUAUAAUUUAAUUUUAGAAUGUUAAUAGACAUAAAUAUUAUCAAUCAAUAUUACAUAGUAUUAAAUACUUUUUAAUUAAGUCUCCAACACACCCCAAAAUACUCAUAAUAACAAAAUUAAAUAACUUUUGACAUAAUAUCAUUUGAACCAAAUAAAAAUACUAAUAAGCAAUCUAAAUAAUUGCAUGUAAGACGACUUUGUACGGGACAAGAAAAAUUAUAAAGAAAGGAGUCAUCGUUCAAUAGGCAAAGGUCACUCGGAGAAACCAAAAUAUAAAUCUUCUCGGGAUCAUGAUUACCAAUCUUAUUCAUCACGAGAGAAGAAUUGUAAUAGACACCAUUAGCUUAGAGCAGCCUGGCAAGAUGUUACCAUGCCCAAUAUGUUCUCUUUAUGGAGUGUAGCUACUGCUCUUUGCAUAAUAGCUGAGGGUGCCCCCUUUAUUAGUGAAACUGUACCACACCCUUUUGCAUAAACCAAGGUCUCUCAUAAUCGCGACAUUGAUUUCAACUAUUUUCAUAUAGUUCCCCUGAACAAUUAACAUCCCCAUGCUGUACAAAUAUAUUUGGUCUGCACAAACUAUUUAACAUUCAAUUAAUUAUUCUCGAAAUAGAUUUCCUAGUUUAAAAAUAAAAAUUCAUACAAAUGUGAUGGUAUGACUCCCACGUCCCUUUUCUCCUUCCUUCAAUUUACGCAGCCCUAUAUUAUGUGAUAAGAAAGUAAGAAACAAAUAGAAGGAUAAAACAACAAUAAAGCUAGAAAAAAACGUGUAAGUUUAUAUAAGCUUGUGGGACUUAUAUCAUUGUAAGUAGACUUAUUCAUGAGUACAAAAAAUACAUUAUGAUCACCAUGUCGGUACACAAAAAUAGUACUCCUAACAUAUUAGACAAAACAUCAUUGUAAAAGUUACAUGAUGAUCACUACGGCUAUACACAAAAGUAGUACAGUACUUCUACAUACUACUUGAAAAAACACCAUUCCAACUUCAAAAUAAAGAGCUUUACCAUAAUAAUAACCUAUAUCAUUGUUGAAGUAGAGCCAAAUCUUUAUUGAUGAUAUCAAUAUCACAAUGAAGUUGGAGACGAAGGUUUUCUUCUCUUUCUAGUCCAUCUUUGUUCAAAUGAGGCACUUUGUAAUUAUUGUCGCCACUAUCUUUCAUCACCUCAAUCAUACAAGACUGUAAAGUAAGAAAUACAUGAUUGAGUUGUUUCGCUUUCAUUUCAUCAAAAGAUCUUUCCACUACUUCAACUAAUUCAUCAACAUUUUUAGGGACCUUUUGAUAUUGAAGACUUUGGAUUGCUCUAAAAAAACCAAGAUCUAAAACAUUUAAAUCAGGACUAUUCGAUGGUUGAAAACACAAUCUAAUGUCAAAUCCAUCUUGUCGGGCAGCUUCAAUAAAUUCCAAAUCAUUGUUACCAAUAUGUAGCCUUGCAUUAUCUUGUUGUAAAAAGAUAGGAUUAUUUGAAUCGGAAGCUGGCCAUUUUGCUCUAAUAGCAGGAAGAACAUUCUCUAUCAAGCAAGCUCUAGUGAUAUCUUUAGUUACUGACUGAAUGGGCUUUGUUUCCAUAGUUCCUGCUGUUCGAUUUUUGCUAUUCCGCUUAGCUGGUUCCUUAACUAUAAACGAAAAAAUACCUAUUUUUCCAGAAAACAACUCAAUUCCAUUUUAAUCAAAUCGAGGACGUGCUACAACAGCCAUAAACAUAACCUUUGGAAUAAAAUUUUUACUUUUGUAAGAAUGAUACGGAUCUCGCUCAUGCCCUCCAGGAAAGCAGGUAGUACCUUUCAACUUUUUUGGACAAAAAAAACCACUUUUCGUCGAUAUGAACGUAAUUAAACAUAUUCAUAAACAUGGGAUUUAUGUGAAUUGUAUUCUGAUCAAUCAUUGAGAGGCAGUAUUGAAGUCGUACCUUUUUGUUUCCUUCGGUUAACUGAGGCUUGAUGGAAUUAGAAUGUGGCCGAAGAGUUCCAUCUUUCACACACCGAAAGACGGUUGAUUUUACGUUAUCGCAAAAGCCAGAGAUCGAAUAUUUAUUCGACGAUAAAGUGGAAUUUCUUUGACUUGAUUAAUGUCGACUCCAAUCCGUUUUCUUCCAAAUUUAAGAAAUUUAAUUGUUCCGAUUUAUUUAAUGUUUUGAAUUAGCUUUUUAAAAGUCAGUAUUGGAAGCCAAUUUCGACACUGUGAUGUUGACCCCCAAUUUUGACCUCCCAACACUACAUUUAGUCUGUUAUUUUAACAAAAUCGUUAAUUUUUAAACAUUAGUAUUUUUGCAUAAUUUCUUGCAUCAAACAGAUUUUCGACAUAUCGCAUUCAUAAUUUAGAAAAUGCAUAAAUCAUCAAUUAUCUUUUAGAAUUGUGUUUUUAUAAUAUUAUAAAAUUAAAAAUGGCGUUUUUAUAAUUUUAUUAAUUAAAUUAUUUUCACGUAAUUAUGCACACUCCCAAUUUUGCAAAAUACAUUGUCUAGUUUUGCUUUAUCUAAUACUAUUUAUUGAUAUUAUUAUUUAUUGAUAUAGUUAUUAUAUAUAUUAAUAUUAUUUAUUAUUUAUCAUUUAUUAUUAUUAUUUAUUGUUUAAUUAUUAUUUUUUUCAUUAUUAGUAUUUAUCUUUUAUUACAUUUUUUAUUAUUUAUUAUUUAAUGUUGUUAUUUAUUAUGUAAUUACUAUUAUCAUAUAUUAUUAUUAUUCCUACUUUAAUUUAAAUAACAUCCAAUUUUGUUUAAUUUCUUACAAUUAUAGCCUAUUUUUACCCAAUCCAUUACAAUCUUAACCCAAUUUCUUACAAUUUAAGCCAUUAUUUUUCAUCCUAGCCACAUUUUAAUCCCCCUAUGACAUUAAAUCCCAGCCGUCGAUCCAAAACCAAUCCAACGGUUGACAUCAAAAGAUCUCUCAUUCCCUAUUUCAAACCUACAAACCCUAACUCAAAUUUUUUCCCCAACUUCCUCCUCUAUCUCUCCACCUCUCUCUUCUCUCUCUACAAAUACCUCCAAAUCUCAAUCUCCCCCUCCUCUCCUCCGAUCUCUCCGUCGCUAAUCGACCACCAAAAUCAUCCCCUCAGCCCCAAGUCCUCGUCGCCAUGCUGCCAUCUCCGGCGAACAGCUUUCACCGUCACCUUUUCCUUCUCCUCCAUACGUGCCGCCAGCUCCUACUCCAGGCGAGUCCAGCCGCUGCUCCGAUGGCCAGACCCCUCCCUUCUUGUCCUCCACUGGCGAACAGCGCCGCCAUCAACGGAGAUGGACAGCCAAGCCUCCAUGCUGCAGCUCCAUUCUCCGUCCUCUAGUCGCCUUCUUUCUCUCCUCCGGCAAACGUCCAAAUGCCGUGAAACAGCCUCAACUCCUCUCAGACAGUGAUACCUCCGGCAAACCCCUUCGGCAUUCUAGCCAUGCAACCCUUCCUCAUCGAAAAUGAACAAUCCAUCUUCAGGUUUGAUUCGGUGUUCGAAAUAGGUGUGUGAACUUUAGUACUAUUUCUUCAUCUGUGUCUCUCAUAAGUUUGGCCACGUUUUAUUUUUGCUAAAUAAAUAUGUUGAUUUUAAGUCUGUGAUUUUUAUUCGACCCUAUUUGGAUGUCCUUCUUGAUUGAAAUUUCGUGACGCUUAACUUGAAUGGUGAGUCAAUUUGUUCGUCUCUCUCUGGUAUGUGCAAACAUGCCUAACUUCUUGCAACUUCACAUUUUUUAUGCCUCUUAGUCAAUAUGGGUUAUUUUGUAUGGGAAAAGCAUGUAUGUGACGAUUCGAGGAUUUUUUCGUAAAUCUUUAAUAAGGCUAAUAUGUGCACGUUUUGACUGUAUGGGUAUGAACCUGUACCAAUUUGAUUUGAGAAAAGCAUCUCAGUAAUUGAUUUUUUAUUUUUCGGAUUUUUUCGUAAAUCUGUAAUAAGGCUAAUAUGUGCAUGUUUUGACUGUUUGGGUAUGAUCCUGUACCAAUUUGAUUUGAGAAUAGCAUCUUAGUAAUUGUUAUUUUUCUUGCCUUACAUGGUUGACAAACAUCCCCUCACACGUUAACUAUGGUAAAUUUAGAUACCUCUUCUUGAUUUCAUUUAAUAAGUAGGAAGGAUCUCUUUUUACUUGUUCUAUUCAUGGAAAUUUCAAAUGUUAUAAUAGGGUAUUAUUUAUUUAUGGAAACUAUAGCAUGAUUGGUGGAACAGAUUGAUUUACCCCAUCCAUUGAACGGAACAAUCCCCUUAAUUGAUUCAUUAUAUG